GUACACGCUGUGACUAGCAUAUCAAUAAGCGGAGGAAAAGAAACUAACAAGGAUUCCCCUAGUAACGGCGAGUGAAGCGGGAAGAGCUCAAAUUUGAAAUCUUAAAGGGUUUCCCUUUACGAAUUGUAGUUUAAAGAAGUGUUUUCUGUUGAGGUUUUGGUAAAAGUUCUUUGGAAUAGGACAUCAUAGAGGGUGAGAAUCCCGUAUUUGACCUUUACUUUCAACUUUGUGAUACACUUUCAAAGAGUCGGAUUGUUUGGGAAUGCAGUCCAAAAUGGGUGGUAAAUUUCAUCUAAAGCUAAAUAUUGGCGAGAGACCGAUAGCGAACAAGUACCGUGAGGGAAAGAUGAAAAGAACUUUGAAAAGAGAGUUAAACAGUACGUGAAAUUGUCAAAAGGGAAGCGUUUGACACCAGUGUUGUUUUUCUGAAAAUCAAUUAAAGAACUGUUUAUGCUAAGUUGUUUAGACUUUAUCAGCUAACUGUUUAGUUUUGAGCUUUUCUUUAAUGCACUUUUCAGUUAACAAGUCAACAUCAACUUCUUUUGCUGUAAAAAAGCUUGAGGAAGGUGGCUUGAGAUUCGUCUUAAGUGUUUAUAGCCUCUUGCCUAUGCAGUCGGAGAGAUUGAGGUCUGCAGCGUAGAUCCUUCGGGGCUAAAUGCAUUUGUGCUAAGUUAUAGCAUUUUAUAGACAACUUGUUGACUAUGAUUUGUCUUGUAGCUUACUCGCUUAUGUUAUUUUACCUACGCUUAGGAUGUUGAGUCGUAGAGCACGCAG
RNAcentral lists this ribosomal RNA (774 nucleotides) under uncultured Neocallimastigales. RNAcentral describes it as "partial large subunit ribosomal RNA". It matches the Rfam family "Eukaryotic large subunit ribosomal RNA", at positions 22 to 628 of the family's 3401-position model. The record is from RNAcentral. Lineage: Eukaryota; Fungi; Neocallimastigomycota; Neocallimastigomycetes; Neocallimastigales.